Molecule: non-coding RNA, 1038 nt
Organism: Paramormyrops kingsleyae
Lineage: Eukaryota; Metazoa; Chordata; Actinopteri; Osteoglossiformes; Mormyridae
Source: RefSeq, a predicted model, not a curated record
UAACAUCAGAUCCUACAAAGUUACCGUUAACCCAUGUUUAGCCUUAUAAAGCUCAAAAUAUCCUAAUAUGAUGUUUUCAGAGGAGGUGGACCUUAGCCUACAUGGCAGCAGCAAGGUGUGCUUGAGUUGAACCAUCCAGAAAUACUGAUAUAGGUACUCUGAUUUUCCAAAAACGCAAGACGCACCAGGGUUCCAAGCAAGCUUCUACUCAUUUGAUUUAUGUACUCAAGGCUGAAAUGACAUCAAGGAUCUGUGUCCUGGUCCUGAAAAGUUUCAGAGGUGCAGGGCUAUAUGACUUCUUGUGAAUAACGAUGAAAAGGUGGAGACUGCUGCUGAACUAGAACAGCCAUCGACUGGAGGCAGCGGCCUUUCACAAGAAGAGCCCUUCACUUCUCAGUUUGUCACUGUGUCCAGUCCAGAAUACAUAAUCUUCAGACAGUGAACCUGAACAGACCUAGAUGAGUUGUAGAGAAUCAUUCAGCCAAACAAUGCCUGGUACAUGUCGGAGAUGAAGAACAGAUGGGACAACUUCUACUCAAAGAUCCAGUUUUAUGGUGUCAUGAAGAAAGCUAUGAAGCUUCCAAAAACUUUGGAUGGAGUGGAACAUGCCGCUGCUGUUUUCAGAGCCUUGCCACUGCUCUUCCCAUCCAGCACCACGCCACCUAAGAAGUUGGGCGCAAGCCCAACGCGACUGAAAUCAACGAGACUUUUGCCAACCCGGGGCUGAAGGCGUACCCCCCCCCCCUUACCGAAGUGGACGUCAGCAACGAGCCCCCAGCCAGAGAGCCUCCAAGAAAGAGUGGUGGUGUCAUUUCAAAUCUGUCCCUCUGCAAUAUUGUUCAAACCAGCAGCUGGAAUGUUACUAUUCUCUGGUAAUUUCUAAUGACUUUCAGUGUACUCCUACCCUCGCUUAUUAUCAAAGACCAGUAUAUCACAUCACCUGAAACUGGGCUUGAUUUAAAGUGUAUUAACACUGCAAAAGUCAGAAAUGCCUCCAGUAGUAAUAUUGACAAGAUCACAAUUACAACACAGUUAUAA